UUUCAGUGGGAGAACAGAAUGUAGGGGCGAUGAGGACGUUAAAGCAAGAGGAUUUGUGGCUUUUUUCCAAGCUCACAGCUGUUAAGAGGUAGCCCUGGGAAGGAGGCACGGAGGUUAGUCAGUCAGCCUGAGGUUACCCGGCCCUGGUGCUCGGCACAGGGACAGGGAAAGCCUGCACCCUUUCAUUCCUGACCUGCCUUUUCGCAUAGAUGCUCAGGGCUGCAGCAGCACCUUGGGUAGGUGGAGGUUGUCCCAGUCCCUCACUGGUUCUGAGCCCCUCGCACACAUUUGUUGUAUUUGAUGUGUGUUGGGUACCUUCCCCUGCCAUUCGCCCAGCCCUUUGGUUUGGGGACCUUGGAGAACUCCACAUUCAGAGUCCUGAGUGCAGGCUGGGUUCUAUGGAGGGGAUUCCCAUUUCCCACUACCAGUGGGAGAAGGUAUCAAGGCUACUCCUGGGACAUAGCUGGCAGUGCUUUAAGGUGAACCCGAGCUGCAGGGCAGUGUGACCUUUGAGGAUGUGGCCGUGAACUUCUCCUGGGAGGAAUGGUGUCUUCUUGAUGAGGUCCAGAUACCCCUGUACCUUGAUGUCAUGCUGGAGAACUUGGCACUUGUGCCCAAGCUGGGUAAGAGCCUCACAGCACCUGCAUCCUCUGAGCCAGGCUGUGUCUUUCUCCUUUUCCCCAGGGGCACCUCUGUCCUUCUCACAUCUGGACCAUGGGAUGUGAUGGAGUAUGUCCUCUGGGUACCUGGGCUGGGCUGAGUGCAUCCCUGCUCCUUGGUGACUGAGCCCUUGUAGGCCCUAAGUCUUGCAGGGAAGGGUUCAGGCUUCGUAGUCUUGCAGUCAGCCCUGUGGAUCCCUCCUUGACUUGCCCUCCCUUUGACCUGGUGACUGUCCGCAUGUAUGGGGCACCCAUGUUUUGCUCCAUUAGUUUACCUGACUUUUUUUUGUGCCUUACCGUGCAAAACGCUGUUCUCAAUGACUUGGCGACUACUAUAACAGACCAUGAGCUGUUGUUGUAAGACCCCUUUCCAAGUUUCCAAUUUGUCUACAUCCACGGUAGCAUCUGUUUUCUGUUCUUUUCACAAGUAUUUUUUUUAAAUGAAUUUAAUUUAUGGCUCCACCACUGGCAUAUGGAAGUUCCCCGGCUAGGGGUUGAAUCAGAGCUGCACCUGUGACCUAUGCCACUGCUUUCAGCAACUCCAUAUCCUCAACCCACUGAAUGAGGCCAGGGAUCAAAUCCAUGUCCUCAUGGAGACUAGUUGGAUUCUUAAACCACUGAGCCACAAUGGGAACCCCUGUUCUUUUCAUAAUAUCCAUCCUAAUGGGUGUGAAGUGUUAUUACUUUACCAUUUUUUUGUUUGUUUUUGUCUAUUUGCUUUUUCUAGGGCCCACCCGCAGCAUAUGGAGAUUCCCCGGCUAGGAGUGUAAUUGGAGCUGUAGCCUACGCCAGAGCCACAGCAACUCCAGAUUCGAGCUACGUCUGCGACCUACACCACAGCUCAUGG
This 1506-nucleotide long non-coding RNA is filed under the name Sus scrofa (pig). RNAcentral's name for it is "lncRNA (ENSSSCG00015034796.1)". The record is from RNAcentral. Lineage: Eukaryota; Metazoa; Chordata; Mammalia; Artiodactyla; Suidae.